RNAcentral lists this non-coding RNA (21 nucleotides) under Arabidopsis thaliana (thale cress). The record is from RNAcentral. Lineage: Eukaryota; Viridiplantae; Streptophyta; Magnoliopsida; Brassicales; Brassicaceae.
CUGAGUCUGCCUUGAAUCUGC